RNAcentral lists this transfer RNA (69 nucleotides) under Ictidomys tridecemlineatus (thirteen-lined ground squirrel). Its description in RNAcentral is "Spermophilus tridecemlineatus (thirteen-lined ground squirrel) tRNA". It matches the Rfam family "tRNA". Rfam says of the family: Transfer RNA (tRNA) molecules are approximately 80 nucleotides in length. Their secondary structure includes four short double-helical elements and three loops (D, anti-codon, and T loops). The record is from Rfam by way of RNAcentral. Lineage: Eukaryota; Metazoa; Chordata; Mammalia; Rodentia; Sciuridae.
GGGGUUAUAGCUCAGUGGUAGAGCACUUGCCUAGCAUGUGUGAGACCCUGGAUUCGAUUCUCAGUACCA